Molecule: long non-coding RNA, 558 nt
Organism: Jatropha curcas
Lineage: Eukaryota; Viridiplantae; Streptophyta; Magnoliopsida; Malpighiales; Euphorbiaceae
Source: RefSeq, a predicted model, not a curated record
UUCUUCUUCUUCUUCUUCUUCUUCUUCUUUGCUGGGUUCUAUUAGUUUCUAUUGCUCCUACUUCCUACUUAUUUUAUAGAAGAGCUUGUUGAAUCUUGGGGGAUACAUCCGCAGUGGGUGAAUUAUCCUAAAGGCCAGUGUUCUUUAAACACGCCUCAAGCUAUACGUGCAAUAGUUUAUUAUUAUUUUUUCAAAAGAACCGUCUAAUUUGAUGAUUUGGUUCUUUUGGAGCUACAAUAAAUGGAGGAGAUGUAUCAAAGUGCAAGUCAGCAUCACCUAUUAAAUCAUCCAGAUUUGGUAUAACAAGGAACUUGAAGUCCUAUUCUCUUUAUCAACUGGUUGAUAAGGAAAAGAGAGUGAAAGCUCUGAGGAAUGCCUAUAAUAGCCAUAUGGAUAUAGGAACUAUUCGGUUUGCUCUGUACUAUAAAGAGUGGCUUAAAGUUGGAGGAAAAACUCCUUAUGUUCCUCCUGUGCCUGUAGCAUCUAGAGAUAGUUAUGUAACUUUAAGAAGAAUAUCUUCAAAUUCAUUCACGUCACAUUCUUCUAUCAACAAAAAUU